GAUGAAUGCUGGUGGCGUGCCUAAUACAUGCAAGUCGUGCGGCAGCGCGAGUAGUUUACUACUUGGCGGCGAGCGGCGGACGGCUGAGUAACGCGUGGGAACGUGCCCCAAAGUGAGGGAUAAGCCCGAGAAAUCGGGUCUAAUACCGCAUAUGGUCUUCGGAUUAAAGCUUCGGCGCUUUGGGAGCGGCCCGCGUACGAUUAGAUUGUUGGUGAGGUAAUGGCUCACCAAGUCGACGAUCGUUAGCUGGUCUGAGAGGAUGAUCAGCCAGACUGGAACUGAGACACGGUCCAGACUCCUACGGGAGGCAGCAGUAAGGAAUCUUCCACAAUGGGGGCAACCCUGAUGGAGCAACGCCGCGUGCAGGAUGAAGGCCCUCGGGUCGUAAACUGCUUUUAUGAGUGAAGAAUAUGACGGUAACUCAUGAAUAAGCACCGGCUAACUACGUGCCAGCAGCCGCGGUCAUACGUAGGGUGCAAGCAUUAUCCGGAGUGACUGGGCGUAAAGAGUUGCGUAGGCGGUUAGUAAAGCGAAUAGUGAAACCUGGUGGCUCAACCAUACAGACUAUUAUUCGAACUCACUAACUCGAGAGUGGUAGAGGUAACUGGAAUUUCUUGUGUAGGAGUGAAAUCCGUAGAUAUAAGAAGGAACACCAAUGGCGUAGGCAGGUUACUGGACCAUUUCUGACGCUAAGGCACGAAAGCGUGGGGAGCGAACGGGAUUAGAUACCCCGGUAGUCCACGCC
Molecule: ribosomal RNA, 745 nt
Filed under: uncultured bacterium
Lineage: Bacteria
Description: bacterial SSU rRNA
Rfam family: Bacterial small subunit ribosomal RNA
Source: RNAcentral